Molecule: ribosomal RNA, 253 nt
Filed under: uncultured bacterium
Lineage: Bacteria
Description: partial 16S ribosomal RNA
Rfam family: Bacterial small subunit ribosomal RNA
Source: RNAcentral
UACGUAGGGCGCAAGCGUUGUCCGGAAUUAUUGGGCGUAAAGAGCGUGUAGGCGGUUCGGUAAGUCUGCCGUGAAAACCUGGGGCUCAACCCCGGGCGUGCGGUGGAUACUGCCGGGCUAGAGGGUGGUAGAGGCGAGUGGAAUUCCCGGUGUAGCGGUGAAAUGCGCAGAUAUCGGGAGGAACACCAGUAGCGAAGGCGGCUCGCUGGGCCAUUCCUGACGCUGAGACGCGAAAGCUAGGGGAGCGAACAGG